GCAGUGGGGAAUAUUGCACAAUGGAGGAAACUCUGAUGCAGCAACGCCGCGUGGAGGACGAAGGUUUUCGGAUUGUAAACUCCUGUCUUUUGGGACGAUAAUGACGGUACCAAAAGAGGAAGCCACGGCUAACUACGUGCCAGCAGCCGCGGUAAUACGGAGGAUCCGAGCGUUAUCCGGAUUUAUUGGGUUUAAAGGGUGCGUAGGUGGUUUGAUAAGUCAGCGGUGAAAGUUUGAAGCUUAACUGAAAAAAUGCCGUUGAAACUGUCGGACUUGAGUGAAAAUGAGGUAGGCGGAAUGCGUGGUGUAGCGGGGAAAUGCAAAGAUAUCACGAAGAACGCCGAUUGCGAAGGCAGCUUACUAAGCUACAACUGACACUGAAGCAAGAAAGCGUGGGGAUCAAA
This 404-nucleotide ribosomal RNA is filed under the name uncultured bacterium. Its description in RNAcentral is "bacterial SSU rRNA". It matches the Rfam family "Bacterial small subunit ribosomal RNA", at positions 351 to 772 of the family's 1533-position model. The record is from RNAcentral.